RNAcentral lists this ribosomal RNA (254 nucleotides) under uncultured bacterium. RNAcentral describes it as "partial 16S ribosomal RNA". It matches the Rfam family "Bacterial small subunit ribosomal RNA", at positions 524 to 776 of the family's 1533-position model. The record is from RNAcentral.
UACGUAGGGUCCAAGCGUUGUCCGGAUUUAUUGGGCGUAAAGAGCUCGCAGGCGGCUCGGUAAGUCGGAUGUGAAACCUCCAGGCUCAACCUGGAGUCGCCAUCCGAUACUGCUGUGGCUUGAGUCCGGUAGGGGAGCAUGGAAUUCCUGGUGUAGCGGUGAAAUGCGCAGAUAUCAGGAGGAACACCAGUGGCGAAGGCGGUGCUCUGGGCCGGAACUGACGCUGAGGAGCGAAAGCGUGGGGAGCAAACAGG